RNAcentral lists this long non-coding RNA (333 nucleotides) under Dermacentor andersoni. Its description in RNAcentral is "uncharacterized LOC126528304". The record is from RNAcentral. Lineage: Eukaryota; Metazoa; Arthropoda; Arachnida; Ixodida; Ixodidae.
CAGGAACCUGUCUGGGCUGAUGCGCAUUAUCGACGUACAUCCUCUCUGGACUCAAAAUUUGUGGUCCUUGAAUUUGCUAUCUACGUCAAAGAAUGGCACAUAUACCAGAUGAGGCGGUGAUAGGGCAGCAGGACACAAUCGAGACUGAAGAAGGGCCCGAGGACUCGCGCUCCAAUGACGCCGGAUGGAGUCCACCGCCACUUGCUCUUGGUGGACUACUCUGGACUGCCGCGUCGAAUGCCAUGUGACGCCUUGCUCGCCAUCCUGGGAUGAAAUUUCUUUAAAAUAAAGUGUUGUGCUGUUCUUUAGAAUCGAGCGAAACAGAGAAGUCAA